RNAcentral lists this ribosomal RNA (427 nucleotides) under uncultured bacterium. RNAcentral's name for it is "bacterial SSU rRNA". It matches the Rfam family "Bacterial small subunit ribosomal RNA", at positions 355 to 774 of the family's 1533-position model. The record is from RNAcentral.
UGGGGAAUUUUGGACAAUGGGCGCAAGCCUGAUCCAGCAAUGCCGCGUGCAGGAUGAAGGCCUUCGGGUUGUAAACUGCUUUUGUACGGAGCGAAAAGGUCUGCCCUAAUACGGUGGGCUCAUGACGGUACCGUAAGAAUAAGCACCGGCUAACUACGUGCCAGCAGCCGCGGUAAUACGUAGGGUGCGAGCGUUAAUCGGAAUUACUGGGCGUAAAGCGUGCGCAGGCGGUUUUGUAAGACAGAGGUGAAAUCCCCGGGCUCAACCUGGGAACUGCCUUUGUGACUGCAUAGCUAGAGUACGGUAGAGGGGGAUGGAAUUCCGCGUGUAGCAGUGAAAUGCGUAGAUAUGCGGAGGAACACCGAUGGCGAAGGCAAUCCCCUGGACCUGUACUGACGCUCAUGCACGAAGGCGUGGGGAGCAAACA